This is a long non-coding RNA of Parus major (Great Tit), 5371 nucleotides long. RefSeq lists it as uncharacterized. NCBI's taxonomy places the organism in Eukaryota, Metazoa, Chordata, Aves, Passeriformes, Paridae. The record is from RefSeq and is a predicted model, not a curated record. The transcript has 4 exons.
GAGGAAAACAGGACCCAUCUACACCACACAGGACCUUCAGAAGAAAACUGCACCCUUCAAUGGGAUCCCUGCUUCAACAGAACCACCUCUGUCACGCCAGGAGGGCUGCAGCCACCACUUAAUUGGACUGCUACCAACACCCUGACCAGGGUGUCAGGUUGUAUCCUGACUCUGUUAGUAGUGGGGCUUUUUGUUUUGCUUUGUUUUUUUUUUUACUAUUGCAUUUUUAUUUUUAUUUUCCUAUUAAAGAACAGUUAUUCCUAUUCUUGUAUUUUGCCUGAGCGCCCCUUGAUUUCAAGAUUGUAAUAAUUCAGAGAAAAAAUUACAUUUUUUUUCCAUUUCAAGGGAUGUUUCUGCCUUCCUUAGCAGACACCUGUGUUUUCAGACCAAGACAUCCAGCAUGACUCAGGAUGAGAAGGAGAAUUUUUUUCUUAUUAAUAUUUAUUUUAAUAACUGAAAAAAUGAGGUUUACUUGAAUUCUAAAUAAUUAUGGGGAAUUCCUGCUAGCACAAGAAAGGACAGAAUUCAUCCCAGUGCUCCAUGUAUAUCAUGCUAGCUGUUUUCUGUUUCAUAAGUAAGAAGAGUUUUGCCAGUCUCCUUUAAAUCCCAUAUAUCUGGCGUUAGGUGCCCAAGGUAUACAAGUGUUUUUUAUUUCAUCUGUUGCAUCCAUCUGUGUUGUCUUCUCUUGACCUUUCAAAUCUGCAAGCUCUUCUGAGCAAGGAUCAUAUCAUUACAUUUACAUAGUGAUUAUUACCAAAGGCCUGGAAUCAAUGAGCAUUCCCAUAAUAUAGUUAUGGAAGAAACGAGCAAUCAAAGCCCAAAUGACAAGGCUUUUGUAAAUUACAUAGCUAGAUAGUUAAAUUAACUGUAAAAUCGGAAGGGACAUUGGAUAGCUGCAUAAAAGCCCAUGAAGAAAAUGUGUACUUGCACAUUUUCAUUUUGAUCAUUCUGCAAAGACCGGAGAACAGAAAUUAAGGUUUUGUUUUCUAAUUCACAGUGAGAAGAACUGUCAACUAUCAGUUUUAAACAAAACUGUGUAAGCACACAGUAAAAUCUUUUUAGCCAGAUUUCCACACUGUGCCAAAUGACUGCUGGUGGAGAAAAAACAGCACUCUGUAAGUUUUGGAAGUUGUUCAGUGGAGCACCAACCUAAGAGAAAACUGGCAUUAUGCAGCUCCAACUGUUGAAAUGCUUAUUCAGCCAUAUCUGCCCUGGGUCAGUACUGACUUCUGUGGCCAUCACCUGAGCCUGAUACAUGCUGUGUCUUGAAGCUGUUGUGAACUUAUCUGAUGAGCUGAACAAAGCUAUCUGUUCUAAGUCACUUUUUCUGCAGUUUGAUUGCUUUGAUAAUAUUCUUCAGUUAUGUGUGAUGAUAAUUAAAGAACAUACAAAGCAUUGUACACAAAAGAGACAUUAACUGUGCUGGAAGCAGGAUAAAAAUUGCCUUUAUUUAAAUGCUGAGAUUGUAGGGAAAGGAGGAACCUGAGUGCUUUUAAGCUGAAUUUUGAGUGCCUGUGGUACUGACCCACUGAGUCAGAUCACUUUGACAAAUCUCUCAGUCACUCUCUUUGACCUUAAAGUUUGUGCCUCAGGUUGAGCAUGAUAUUAUGCCUGUUUUGCUGGGCUUAAACACCACCAGCACUUAAAUCAGGGCUCUGAGAGCAGGUGAGCCUCUCAGUUUGUGGCAGCCUCAAUCUGAUGGGUUUGCUCUGAAGAAAUAUGAAAGGAAGUGCCCUUCAGGAGAAUCAGACAUCACACAGAGUUUCACCAGCCAUGUUACAACAGAUGUCAGCCACUGAUGAAAGUUCUCCAGGAGAGCCAAAGCCUGUGUCCUUCCUGGGCUCCAGGCUGACAUCAUUUCCCUGCGUCUUUCCAUGGGCUGUGAUCUCCCUCAGAAAUCUCUGUACUGAAUGAAAGUUCCACCAUAUUCCAGGGACUAGAGGAAGACAUGGUCAGAACUUCUCUGUGUGGCAUAAUCCCCCAAGAUUCAGGACUCCUCAUUCCUUAGAACUCAAAAAAGCAGCCAGUUUUGAUGACUGAUUGAUAUUAAUUACCUCUAGGAUACAAUCCCUCCUGUCUGACUAUUUAAAUACUCUUCUGAAAAUUCAAGAGAGAAGAAGAGGAAAAAAUCCCUCUUGGAAACUGCUUCCAUAUUCACUAUUCUUAACCCAUUGGCUGUUAAUUAUUAACUGUGUGAGGAGCUCACAUUGUAACUUGCAGAAAAGGCACCGUGAAAGAUGUUAUAGAUAGCAUUUAUGAACACAAAGAGCUUUGUAAAAUCACUUUUAAUGCAUAGUCGUCAAGACAAGCCUACACUCCAGUGAGUCGAUUGCCUCUCAGAUGAUUUGGACAGACUUUUCUAAAACUCAGCACACACUGAUUUUGUUCUCUUUAAUCACUUUUCCACAGAGGGACCCACUAUGAAAGCAAACCCCGCCACUGCUGACAAAUAGAACUGAGGGCAUUGAGGUUUUCUCCCUUUCCCAAAAAGAAGUCAAAACUACAGAUAGAUAUUUUACAUAUAUAUGUUUUUAAGGUUUGUUUUCAACAUAAUAUUUUCAAUUGCUGGAGCUGUUUGUUUAGCUGAAAUUAACUAUAGUAAUUAACAUAUAGUACAUGAAAAUGAUACCUGCCACAGGAAAAGAACCAGAGUGACACAGCAGGACAUGAGAGGCUGCUCUGGAAGAAAGUUUUCCCCUGAACCAGUAGAGCUCAUUCUGGGAUUCCACUUUAAUCAUGUGCUGUGGUCUCUCAGUAUGUAAAAAAAGGCCCCAAUCAAAAGGGAAUUACUGCCUGCAGAUCAGAAGGUCUGAGAGACAUGAACAAUGAUGCGCUACUUCCAUGAGGAAUGAUUUACUGGCUCAGCACAGCUCCCUUAGAAAAAAGGCUUCUAUAAUUUUGUUUCUUCCUAAAGGAUGAGGAAAGGGCAGCUGUGCCUUUCAGAUCUUUCUCACAGUGAGUUUCCACAGGAGAUUGUCUCUAGCAGCAAACCCACUUUAGGACAGUAUUUUCCUUCUAUUGCCCCACAGCUCUGUGCUACACUGUGAGAUCUGUGUGCGAUGAAAUCAUACAAAUUAACCUGGAACACAGUGAAAAACAGAGGGUCCUCCUGAAAAAAGAAAUUGAAUGAAAAAAGUUUAAUUGAGAAGACUGAUGAAUGUAGUUAAAGUACUUCCUAUUCAAAGGAAGAUAUGCCUUGUUAACACUUAAAUGAAGAUAAAUCAAUUUCUCUGCACCCCUUAGAGCCCCCAAAAACUGUGAUAUGACUGAAAAAAGUUUUUUACAUGUUGAGAAAUGCACAUACCUGCUGAGCAGUACUAUGGGAGGAAACAGAGACCACAGAGCUCUGUCUUUCCCAGACCUUGAGGAAUAUCUCUUUAUUUUGGAAAGGCAGAUGAGAUUCCAGAAUAAGUCCAGUUCAGUCUCCAUGAUCCCACUGCCUUCUAAGGGCUUUCAGUGAAGGGUUGAAAUGCUUUGGAAAAAUUUUGUUGUGGGCUGAAGGUGGUUUAGAAGUUUGGUGCCCAUUCAUCUUGAUGUCUGAUGUUUUAUAUGGUCAAAUAAUCUAGUGGGAUAAAUGAAUGGCAGAGAAACAUUUAAUUAGAUGGAUUAAAAUUCUUGGAAACAAGGGGUUUAAUAACCAUUAAAGGUCAUCAAGCUUUUUCAAUUUGCCUCAGGCACACCAGCAAUGUUAUUGGAGACUGAUGUGGAGUUUGAAUUUAGUGAACUGAAGCUGUCUUCUAGGAGACAUGCAGAUGUGAAGGAAAGUAAGCAAAAUCAGAAUCAGGUACAAAAGGAGAAAAAAAGACAGUGUUGGCUUUGCUUCCUUCUAGGUACAGAUUAAACCCAAGGGGAAAUCUCUUAGACACCCAAAAUACUGCAUUGGAACGACUGGUUCUUUGAACAUUAAAGUUUGAAGAAUGGAAGAGACUGGUCUGCUAUAUAGGGUGGUCAGUCAACUGAAUUUUCACAUGAUUUGAAUGUCCGCGCGCUCAAUCCCCAUUGGCUGAACCAGCUGCCACCCAGCCAACCAGCCAAUAGCAGCCCACGUCUCCAACGGUCCACACCGGAGCAAGGUACUUCUAUAAUUCUAUAACCUUUAAGUUAUAGAAUUGGAAUUAAUUAUAACUGUGAGGCCUUCAGCCCAGCUGUUGGCCACCACAAUGAAGUCCCAGACCUUUCUGUUGGUUGCAGCUGUACUAAUCUCUCAAAAGCUGUCCUUGAAAACAUACAUCUCAAUAUAGUGGCAGACUGCAGUGCCACCUAGGCAUCCCCAGGUUGCUGAAACCCUAGAAUUUGUGUUACAGCACUAAAAGUUUAAAUCCUGUUUGUUUCCUGUUGUUGAGAAGGAAGUGGAGAUUGGACACCGGCUCUUUCAAAGUUGGAGUCUUGUAUCUCAUCAUCCAAAUGAGUUUUGGACCCUCAGUACUAGGCAGCCUGGAUUCACACCUAGGAGAAUCCAAUCAAUGAGCAAAUGCAGCAGAGAACCCACAGUAGAUGUGUCUGAAAGCAGUGGGCAUGUACCUCCCUGGAAAGUCCAGCUCUGGGACUAAUUUUAUUUAUGUAUUUAUUUAUUUAUUUACUUACUUACUUAUUAACUUAAUGAAGUGACAUUUUCCAUUCUUGUGGUUGAUACUCUGUCACUCAGGAAUGGGAGUUCAAACUCUGUCUGGCUGAGCUAGUGGAGUUUAUCCAAAGAACUAGGCAUCAUAGAAUAUCCUGAGUCAGAAGAGACACACAAGGAUCAUAGGAAUCCAACUCCUGGCCCUUCCCAAGCAGGGAACUGGGCAGCCCAAGAAUUCCAUCAUACGCCUGAGUGCAUUGUCCAAGUACUUCUUGAACUCCAUCAGGCUUGGCGCCGUGACCAUUCCCUGGGGAGCCGGUUCCAGUGUGAGAGGCACCAAUAUGAUUUUAAUUUACGCCUCAACAUACGUUACAGUGUUAAAGGGCUGUACAUGUGCUUGUAGAAGAGUUUUCCUGGCGGCCAGUCAUGGCAAAGAAAAGCCUCCACGACAGGACUGUCAGCGAUCCCCGCCACUUUCUGGUGGAGCAAAAUGCCCGGAUGCCCGCCAAAAAUGUUCGCGAAGUCGGGCUGUGGGAGGAGCCUUAGCACAUAAAACCAGCCAACUGCGACACCACAGGGCCAUUUUGCUUCGGGGUCUUGGAAAGAGAGGGGACUUGCCUGUAGGGUCCGCUCGGCCCUUUCCUCUCUCCCCUGCCUUUUCUUCCCUGUGGUCCUGCUUCCCUGCUUCGUCAUUCCCAUCUUGUCAUCGCGACAGUUCGACGGAGCGGCCACUACAGCCAGCCGUGCCCGCCUUCUCUCUCGGGCCCCGCCGUGCUUCCCGGGCCCCGCCGUCCUUCCCGGGCCCCGCCG